This 85-nucleotide transfer RNA is filed under the name Felis catus (domestic cat). It matches the Rfam family "tRNA". Rfam says of the family: Transfer RNA (tRNA) molecules are approximately 80 nucleotides in length. Their secondary structure includes four short double-helical elements and three loops (D, anti-codon, and T loops). The record is from Rfam by way of RNAcentral. Lineage: Eukaryota; Metazoa; Chordata; Mammalia; Carnivora; Felidae.
GGCUGGGUGGCUCAGUCAGUUGAGCAUCUGACUUUGGCUCAGGUCGCGAUCUUGCGGUUCGUGGGUUCAAGCCCCACAUCAGGCU